CCCUUGCCUGUAGGAUGCCCGGCCAUCCAUCCCCGUUGCCGCUGGGGAGCGGCGCCUUAUCAGGGCCGCCCGACGCCGCUGCAGCUGCCGCUAGGAUUCUUGUACGUGCAUCACACCUACGUGCCUGCACCACCCUGCACGGACUUCGCGCGCUGCGCAGCCAACAUGCGCUCCAUGCAGCGCUACCACCAGGACACGCGAGGCUGGGAAGAUAUCGGCUACAGUUUCGUGGUGGGCUCGGAUGGCUACGUGUACGAGGGACGCGGCUGGCACUGGGUGGGCGCGCACACGCUCGGCCACAACUCCCGCGGCUUUGGCGUGGCCAUAGUGGGCAACUACACCGCGGCGCUGCCCACCGAGGCCGCUCUGCGCACAGUGCGCGACACACUCCCGACUUGUGCGGUGCGCGCCGGCUUCCUGCGGCCGGACUACGCGCUGCUGGGCCACCGCCAGCUGGUGCGCACCGACUGCCCCGGCGACGCGCUCUUCCACCUGCUGCGCACCUGGCCGCACUUCACCGCGGUGAGUCUGCGCAGCCUGCCCUACCACGGCCCGCCGCCCCUCAGUCUACACAAGUGCCACAAGGUCCCUGUCCCCUGCCUGUAACCGCUGUGCCCACACAGCCUCAGCCAGGCCCCCAGCUUCCCUGCCGCACGUCUUUUCAGGCAACCCAGGCCCAGCCUUUGCGGGUCACUCUGCAGGCAACAUUCCUGAUCCUGUGACUUCUGCCUGUGCGGCCUCAGCUCAGCCCCAGACCCAGCCAGCCUGUCCUUUACCCAGCUCCUAAUACCUCUACCUUUCCAGCCAGGUCCUGGACCCUGAC
RNA transcript from Piliocolobus tephrosceles (Ugandan red Colobus), 823 nucleotides. It is a transcript of the gene named N-acetylmuramoyl-L-alanine amidase-like, with no coding region annotated. The record is from RefSeq and is a predicted model, not a curated record. The transcript has 2 exons. NCBI's taxonomy places the organism in Eukaryota, Metazoa, Chordata, Mammalia, Primates, Cercopithecidae.